CCUGGCGGCGUGCUUCCACAUGUCAAGUCGAACGGAUCACUCCAGACUUGCUGGGGUUGUGAGUGGCGAACGGGUACACGUGAGCAACCUGCCCUCCUCUCUGGGAUAAGCCUUGGAAACGGGGUCUAAUACCGGAUAUUCACUUCCUGCUGCAUUGUGGGUGGUGGAAAGCUUUUGCGGUGGGGGAUAGGCUCGCGGCCUAUCAGCUUGUUGGUGGGGUGAUGGCCUACCAAUGCGAUGACGGGUAGCCGGCCUGAGAGGGCGACCGGCCACACUGGGACUGAGACACGGCCCAGACUCCUACGGGAGUGCAGCAGUGGGGAAUAUUGCACAAUGGGCGAAAGCCUGAUGCAGCGACGCCGCGUGCGGGAUUGACGGCCUUCGGGUUGUAAAACCGCUUUCGGCAGGGAAGAAGCCGCGAGGUGACGGUACCUUGCAGAAGAAGCGCCCGUGCUAACUACGUGCCAAGCAGCCGCGGGUAAUACGUAAGGCGCAACGCGUUGUCCCGGAAUUAUAUGGGCCGGUAAAAGAGCUCAUAAUGCUGGUUCGGUC
Molecule: ribosomal RNA, 552 nt
Filed under: uncultured Isoptericola sp.
Lineage: Bacteria; Bacillati; Actinomycetota; Actinomycetes; Micrococcales; Promicromonosporaceae
Description: bacterial SSU rRNA
Rfam family: Bacterial small subunit ribosomal RNA
Source: RNAcentral